This 492-nucleotide ribosomal RNA is filed under the name uncultured bacterium. RNAcentral describes it as "partial 16S ribosomal RNA". It matches the Rfam family "Bacterial small subunit ribosomal RNA", at positions 29 to 507 of the family's 1533-position model. The record is from RNAcentral.
AGUGAACGCUGGCGGUAGGCCUAACACAUGCAAGUCGAACGGCAGCACAGUAAGAGCUUGCUCUUACGGGUGGCGAGUGGCGGACGGGUGAGGAAUACAUCGGAAUCUACUUUUUCGUGGGGGAUAACGUAGGGAAACUUACGCUAAUACCGCAUACGACCUACGGGUGAAAGCAGGGGAUCUUCGGACCUUGCGCGAUUGAAUUAGCCGAUGUCGGAUUAGCUAGUUGGCGGGGUAAAGGCCCACCAAGGCGACGAUCCGUAGCUGGUCUGAGAGGAUGAUCGGCCACACUGGAACUGAGACACGGUCCAGACUCCUACGGGAGGCAGCAGUGGGGAAUAUUGGACAAUGGGCGAAAGCCUGAUCCAGCCAUACCGCGUGGGUGAAGAAGGCCUUCGGGUUGUAAAGCCCUUUUGUUGGGAAAGAAAAGCAGCAGGUUAAUACCCCGCUGUUCUGACGGUACCCAAAGAAUAAGCACCGGCUAACUUCGUG